Nematolebias whitei (Rio pearlfish) is the source of this 586-nucleotide RNA transcript. It is a transcript of the gene named TAFA chemokine like family member 5a, with no coding region annotated. Lineage: Eukaryota; Metazoa; Chordata; Actinopteri; Cyprinodontiformes; Rivulidae. The transcript has 5 exons. The record is from RefSeq and is a predicted model, not a curated record.
AUGCAGCUGCUAAGAGUCGCGUGGGCUCUGACCGGAGCGGCGAUCUGCUGCUUCCUCAUCCUCCUCAUCCACUCCCGCCUGCUCAAAGAAGGCCAGCUGGCAGCCGGGACAUGUGAGAUUGUGACGUUGGACAGGGACAGCAGCCAGCCACGACGGACCAUCGCCAGGCAGACGGCCCGCUGCGCCUGUAAGAAGGGCCAGAUCGCCGGAACUACAAGAGCCAGACCCGCCUGUGUGGAUGCUGGCAUUGUUCGAAAAAAGCAGUGGUGCGAGAUGGUUCCAUGUUUGGAGGAUGAAGGCUGUGACCUGUUAGUCAAUAAAUCUGGAUGGACUUGUACGCAGCCCGGAGGCCGAGUCAAAACCACCACGGCUCUAUGACGCGACAAGAGUUCCCCUCGACACUCUUGCACUAUGGAGAGCACUGACGACCCUUUGACAGACAGCCAAAAUCCACCAACCACCACCAACACAGCCGCUCCACCCAAACCCUGGUACCACAAAGCCAGGACACAAGCAGCUAUCGACCACCGAGAGCCCAACUGAGGCAGCAAGGUCUCAUAACAGCCAGAGAAGUCCAAACCGGGGA